Molecule: ribosomal RNA, 253 nt
Filed under: uncultured bacterium
Lineage: Bacteria
Description: partial 16S ribosomal RNA
Rfam family: Bacterial small subunit ribosomal RNA
Source: RNAcentral
UACGUAGGUGACAAGCGUUGUCCGGAAUUAUUGGGCGUAAAGAGCUCGUAGGCGGUCUGUUGCGUCUGCUGUGAAAACUCGGGGCUUAACCCCGAGCCUGCAGUGGAUACGGGCAGACUAGAGGUAGGUAGGGGAGAAUGGAAUUCCCGGUGUAGCGGUGAAAUGCGCAGAUAUCGGGAGGAACACCGGUGGCAAAGGCGGUUCUCUGGGCCUUACCUGACGCUGAGGAGCGAAAGCGUGGGGAGCGAACAGG